CGCAAAUAUGGACAUGGAGCGGAGACCUCCCUGUGUUUCACGCGCUUCCAGGGAUCACACAGGUGAAGACAGACGUUGGGAGUCUUGAGUGCAGACCCUGGAAAGGCUUCAACCAUGAAAGACUCACUGGUUUCCAUGGAGUCUUGUUGGCUCAUGACCAAGGGAGAGCUCAAUGUUCCUGUCAGCUGGGGUCCAGUGUUCCUAAUCAGCCCUGACCUGAAAGACUCACACAAAAGACUUGAAGAUCAAAAUGUUUUAUAUGGGAUCAUGAAAAUAAGUUGAUUAUUUGGGGGUGGAGGAAGGAAUACAAUAAAGGCUUAAAAACUUGUGUUUCA
Molecule: long non-coding RNA, 335 nt
Filed under: Neogale vison (American mink)
Lineage: Eukaryota; Metazoa; Chordata; Mammalia; Carnivora; Mustelidae
Description: Neovison vison (American mink) lncRNA (ENSNVIG00000006719.1)
Source: RNAcentral